GCGGAAAUAGCUCAGUUGGUAGAGCAUAACCUUGCCAAGGUUAGGGUCCUUUGAUUUAAUGAUUGCCCA
This 69-nucleotide transfer RNA is filed under the name Bacteroides sp. 44_46. Its description in RNAcentral is "tRNA-Gly". Lineage: Bacteria; Pseudomonadati; Bacteroidota; Bacteroidia; Bacteroidales; Bacteroidaceae. The record is from RNAcentral.